Molecule: RNase P RNA, 299 nt
Filed under: uncultured Duodenibacillus sp.
Lineage: Bacteria; Pseudomonadati; Pseudomonadota; Betaproteobacteria; Burkholderiales; Sutterellaceae
Description: Bacterial RNase P class A
Rfam family: Bacterial RNase P class A
About the family: Ribonuclease P (RNase P) is a ubiquitous endoribonuclease, found in archaea, bacteria and eukarya as well as chloroplasts and mitochondria. Its best characterised activity is the generation of mature 5'-ends of tRNAs by cleaving the 5'-leader elements of precursor-tRNAs.
Source: RNAcentral
AGUCGGACGAUCGCGGCGAGUUUAACUCUCGGUGAGGAAAGUCCGGACUCCGCAGAGCACCGUAGCAGGUAACGCCUGCCCGCCGUAAGGCGAGGAUUAGAGCAACAGAGACGAGCCGAUUCAGUUCGGGUGAAACGGGCAAUCUCUACGGGGAGCAACACCAAGUAAGCAGUCGUUUGAUUUCUGCUCGAAAAAAGAUUGCGGGUAGGUGGCUUGAGGCCGCGCGCGAGCGUCGGUCCUAGAUGAAUGAUCGUCACCGGCACCAAAAUGUGCCGUCACAUAAUCCGGCUUACAGAUUC